UACGUAGGGUGCAAGCGUUGUUCGGAAUUAUUGGGCGUAAAGAGCUCGUAGGCGGUUUGUCGCGUCUGCUGUGAAAACUCGGGGCUUAACCCCGGGCCUGCAGUGGGUACGGGCAGACUAGAGUGCGGUAGGGGAGACUGGAAUUCCUGGUGUAGCGGUGAAAUGCGCAGAUAUCAGGAGGAACACCGGUGGCGAAGGCGGAUCUCUGGGCCUUACCUGACGCUCAGGUGCGAAAGCUAGGGGAGCGAACAGG
This 253-nucleotide ribosomal RNA is filed under the name uncultured bacterium. RNAcentral's name for it is "partial 16S ribosomal RNA". It matches the Rfam family "Bacterial small subunit ribosomal RNA", at positions 524 to 776 of the family's 1533-position model. The record is from RNAcentral.